UACGUAGGGGGCAAGCGUUGUCCGGAAUCAUUGGGCGUAAAGCGCGUGUAGGCGGCCCGAUAAGUCCGCUGUGAAAGUCCAGGGCUCAACCCUGGGAUGCCGGUGGAUACUGUCGGGCUCGAGUCCGGAAGAGGUGGGUGGAAUUCCCGGUGUAGCGGUGAAAUGCGCAGAUAUCGGGAAGAACACCCGUGGCGAAGGCGGCUCUCUGGGACGGUACUGACGCUGAGACGCGAAAGCGUGGGGAGCGAACAGG
This 253-nucleotide ribosomal RNA is filed under the name uncultured bacterium. RNAcentral's name for it is "partial 16S ribosomal RNA". It matches the Rfam family "Bacterial small subunit ribosomal RNA", at positions 524 to 776 of the family's 1533-position model. The record is from RNAcentral.